This 340-nucleotide ribosomal RNA is filed under the name uncultured eukaryote. RNAcentral describes it as "SSU rRNA". It matches the Rfam family "Eukaryotic small subunit ribosomal RNA", at positions 594 to 945 of the family's 1831-position model. The record is from RNAcentral.
AUAGCGUAUAUUAAAGUUGUUGCAGUUAAAAAGCUCGUAGUUGAAUAUCUGGCCGGUGCUGUUCUUGGCUCCCUGAGUCGGUUCAGCGCCUGGUUAUCCGUAUGGGAAACUAGCUCGACCUUCACUGUGUCGGCUAGUGGAUCAUACACUUUACUUUGAAAAAAUUAGAGUGUUUCAGGCAGGCAAUUGCUUGGAUACUGUAGCAUGGAAUAAUGGAAUAGGACUUUGACCUAUUUGUUGGUUUCUCGAGGUCAAAGUAAUGAUUAAUAGGGACAGUUGGGGGCAUUCGUAUUUAAUUGUCAGAGGUGAAAUUCUUGGAUUUUUUAAAGACGAACUUAUG